CACAGUUCGAAUCCAGAAUGCGGAGUUUACAUUCCUCAGUUCAUAUCGUAUGGCUCGAGUUGAGCUGAGUACUUCAGCGCUGUGCUGGGCUGUGCCGGGCGAAACUCCAUUAGCUCCGACCUCUGGCCGACGCCCAGUAAUUACAAUUUGUUAUCGCUUUAAUUCAAUAUCGACGGGCACACAUGGACUUUGCCGCACUGCGGGUGGCCGGCCUCCUGCUCGCUGCUCCUGUUGACUCAAUCAGCAAAAACUUGACUCUGCGUUUCCCCUGGCAUUUUGGGCAGUGUUUAAGCUUGCAGCUGCGCCUAUCAUCAGCUCGGCCUAAUUUCAUUUGACUAAAUAUAUUUAUUGUAAUUUCAUAGU
This is a long non-coding RNA of Drosophila mojavensis, 363 nucleotides long. RefSeq lists it as uncharacterized. NCBI's taxonomy places the organism in Eukaryota, Metazoa, Arthropoda, Insecta, Diptera, Drosophilidae. The record is from RefSeq and is a predicted model, not a curated record. The transcript is spliced from 2 exons.